GCCAGCUGCAAAAGGUCUGUUGCAAACCCAACGCACAUUUCAUGCUGCAGAGUUUCUUUCCGCACAGGUUCACGACUUGGAUCCAGAAUUAGGGCAAGACCACUGCUGCCACACCAACUGCUGAAUUCCUAGCUCCUGCCUUUAAAUAUCUCAGAUAGUGCUCUAUCAGCAACAGCUGUUGACCAUCCCAAGUCCCUGCAUAUUUAACAGGGAGUGGCAGCAUUGCAAAAGUCAUUCACUCGGUCAUCUUUAAGAAAUACUUUGACAGCCAAUUCCAGAAACACAUCAAAUGCUUCCGUCAUCACCUCAACAUAAAAGGAAUGUCUCUGCCAACGUUUUCCAACUGCAUCAAGAUAUCCUGCCCACUGCCUGCAGCCCAAACACCUUUUCUCGAGUCCUGCUGAAUAAAGCCAUCCUCGUCAACAAUGGCACCUAAUGUUUUGCUUUGUUGCAAACAUAAAACCAGGAUCAAACUUUUCUCAUUUCUUUCAUCCCUCCGAUCUUUCAAUAUCUCCAUUAUUCCCAGGUCAAUGUUCGAUAUUGAUCUUGGUUACAGUAUCCAUGACAGCAAUCACCAUUUAGUAAUUCCUUGGCAUUCUCAUAAAUAAUCAAAUAGAAUAAUGUAAUAGAACAAUUGAACCAGCUCACUACUUGUGCAAUGAAUCCAAUAACCAGUAACAAUAUGUUUUUCCAAACAAGUAAAAAAUAAAUGCAUGGCUCUUCAGCACACGAUAAUAAUAUGGACAAGGAGCAAAAAAAUCUACAGAAAAUUAAAUGGUCCACUGUCCAAAAAUUAGAUCAGUAUACAAAGCAUUCUUUUUAUCAGAAGGUUCCUAUUAUUUCACCUUUGCGCUACAUAUUUUGCAUAUAAUCCCCCACGAUUAGGUUUGAGGUGCAGCUCCCAAGAACAACUCAAAUUCAGUCACUACAAUCUACAGUAUAUCCUGUGAAACACUUCAAGAUGUCCUCCCAGCGUGAAAGGUGCCAUAUCAAAUGAAAGGAUGUAUUAUCAUUAACAAUGGGCACACGAUCAGGUUCUAGGACUCCGAAAACAGUUCAUUAGAACAAUGAAAAUAUGCCAGGCACCAGGAUGUCUACUAUCAUAUUUACAGCUCAACAGAAUGAAAUAAUUUGUAAGAAUUUCAUUCAAAUAAAGCCAUGCAGCUUUUCAAGGUAACAUGAUUUGCAAGCAAUGGACCUCGAGUUCACAAUGACAUUUGGGUGAUAAACCUUGGUGAAGUGCGACUAAAUCCAGUUUCAAUUUACAUAUUGUUAUUCACAUGAAAUUAAAUGUUGACUCGAGUGCACCUGUAAUUUUCCAAUUGCUUAAAAUAAA
Molecule: long non-coding RNA, 1336 nt
Organism: Callorhinchus milii (elephant shark)
Lineage: Eukaryota; Metazoa; Chordata; Chondrichthyes; Chimaeriformes; Callorhinchidae
Exons: 3
Source: RefSeq, a predicted model, not a curated record